GGGUUGUGAGGUUAAGCGACUAAGCGUACACGGUGGAUGCCCUGGCAGUCAGAGGCGAUGAAGGACGUGCUAAUCUGCGAUAAGCGCCGGUAAGGUGAUAUGAACCGUUAUAACCGGCGAUUUCCGAAUGGGGAAACCCAGUGUGAUUCGUCACACUAUCAUUAACUGAAUCCAUAGGUUAAUGAGGCGAACCGGGGGAACUGAAACAUCUAAGUACCCCGAGGAAAAGAAAUCAACCGAGAUUCCCCCAGUAGCGGCGAGCGAACGGGGAGGAGCCCAGAGCCUGAAUCAGCAUGUGUGUUAGUGGAAGCGUCUGGAAAGGCGCGCGAUACAGGGUGACAGCCCCGUACACAAAAGCGCAUGUGCUGUGAGCUCGAUGAGUAGGGCGGGACACGUGGUAUCCUGUCUGAAUAUGGGGGGACCAUCCUCCAAGGCUAAAUACUCCUGACUGACCGAUAGUGAACCAGUACCGUGAGGGAAAGGCGAAAAGAACCCCGGCGAGGGGAGUGAAAAAGAACCUGAAACCGUGUACGUACAAGCAGUGGGAGCACCCUUC
This 556-nucleotide ribosomal RNA is filed under the name Salmonella enterica subsp. enterica serovar Typhimurium. Its description in RNAcentral is "partial 23S ribosomal RNA". It matches the Rfam family "Bacterial large subunit ribosomal RNA", at positions 1 to 587 of the family's 2925-position model. Lineage: Bacteria; Pseudomonadati; Pseudomonadota; Gammaproteobacteria; Enterobacterales; Enterobacteriaceae. The record is from RNAcentral.